This is a non-coding RNA of Nanorana parkeri, 452 nucleotides long. The record is from the annotation of a RefSeq genome assembly. NCBI's taxonomy places the organism in Eukaryota, Metazoa, Chordata, Amphibia, Anura, Dicroglossidae.
GGGAAGACAAAGUUGUCCACUGACUGAGUUGAGCGAUUUUGCCAUAUUUCAGUAUGAAGAGUCUCCUCAGUAUACUCUAUGUGGUCUUCUCAGCACAUUAUGUGAACUCCCAGGUGUCACUAGUAGAGUCUGGUCCCAGCAUUGUGAAGCCAGCGCAGGCUCUGGAUGUAACAUGUACAGUAACAGGAGCCUCUCUCACUGACAGCAGCAAGCUUUACAGUGUGGAAUGGGCACGACAGUUCCCAGGAAAGGGCCUGGAGUGGAUGGGUCGCAUCAUCUAUAAUGGAGAUUUAUAUUAUGCUCAGUCAUUGAAGGGACGAAUUACCAUAACUAGAGAUACCAGUAAAGGAAAAGUUUAUUUAAAACUAAACAGUGUGAAUGCAGAUGAUUCUGGAAGAUAUCACUGUGCUAGAACCACACUGCUGCAGAACUGUGUACUACAACUACAAUAA